GGUUAAUGGAGACCUGUAUGAAGGGCAACACGAGGGCUUGACUGUCUCCUCUUUCAAGUCAAUGAAAUUGAUCUCCCCGUGCAGAAGCGGGGAUACAGUCAUAAGACGAGAAGACCCUAUGGAGCUUUAGACACGAAAGCAGCCCCUGUUAAACACCCCCUCUUAAAGGGCAAAACCAAAGGGACCCUGCCCUAAUGUCUUUGGUUGGGGCGACCGCGGGGAAACACAAAACCCCCACGUGGAACGGGACCACCUCUUCCUUAAUCAAAGAGCUACCGCUCUAAGAAACAAAAAUUUUGACCUCCAGAUCCGGCAAAGCCGAUCAACGGACCGAGUUACCCUAGGGAUAACAGCGCAUUCCUCUUUUAGAGCCCAUAUCGACAAGGGGGUUUACGACCUCGAUUUUGGAUCAGGACAUCCUAAUGGUGCACCCGCUAUAAAGGGUUCGUUUGUUCAACGAUAAAAGUCCUACUUGAUCUGAUUUCAAACCGGAGGUCAUACCUUUUU
Molecule: ribosomal RNA, 507 nt
Filed under: Symphodus ocellatus
Lineage: Eukaryota; Metazoa; Chordata; Actinopteri; Labriformes; Labridae
Description: partial large subunit ribosomal RNA
Rfam family: Bacterial large subunit ribosomal RNA
Source: RNAcentral